This is a long non-coding RNA of Oreochromis niloticus (Nile tilapia), 1223 nucleotides long. RefSeq lists it as uncharacterized. The transcript is spliced from 3 exons. Lineage: Eukaryota; Metazoa; Chordata; Actinopteri; Cichliformes; Cichlidae. The record is from RefSeq and is a predicted model, not a curated record.
GAAUUCUGACUUUAAUCUCAGAAUUCUGACUUUUUUCUCAGAAUUCUGACUUUAAUCUCAGAAUUUUGAGGUGGGCACCUGCAGGCAUCCAUCUUCAGUGACAGGGAUGUGUCCAGGUGUGCAGGUGGAGACCUAAUUCACCAAACAUGGUGGAUAUAAGUGAUUUUUUGCGUGGCCGAGGGGUCCCCGAAGAUGCUGUUUUAUUAAUGGAAGAGCAGAAGAUUGACUGUGAUGUCAUAGCACUGAUGGAUGACGCAACUUUGGCAAACUACAUUCCCUCGUACGGAGACCGAAUUGCCCUCUUCAAUUUCUGCAAAAGCAAGCAACCACUGUCAAAAAGAAAACUAGGACUUCUGCAAAAACUUCACCUCUCGAAGUGAGAGAAACAGUCGCUGACAUGUCAGAUUUGGAUGACUUUAUAAGACUGUAUUUCAGACUUUCCUUCAGUAACAAAGAAAUACUUUCAAUUUUAGCACAUAGUCAUCAGACAAUUAUAAGUGUUCGAACUCUAAAGAGAAUUUGUAAAAGACUUGGGCUCUUUAGAAGGAAGAAUCAAUCAAACUUGGAGGAAGUGCUAGCCUUUGUCCAACAAGAGAUCAUGACAAAUGGACAGAUGCAAGGUUAUCGUUGGCUACAUCUUCGUGCAAUUCAACAUGGAUUUGUGGUGUCACAAGAUACUGUAAGAUGCAUAAUCAAAUUGGUAGACCCUCAAGGUGUGGAACUGAGACGAGCUCGACGGUUGAGAAGACGUCAGUGCAGCUGCAGAGGGCCAAAUGCUCUCUGGCACAUGGAUGGCUAUGACAAGUUGAAACCAUAUGGUAUUGCUAUCAGUGGCUGCAUAGAUGGUUUUAGCCGCUAUGUUGUAUGGAUGGAGGCUUAUACCACAAACAAUGACCCUAAAUUGAUUGCAAGUUAUUUUCUGAAAACAGUUUCAUGCAUCAAUGGAUGUCCAGAGAGGUUACGUGCUGACCGAGGUACAGAAAAUGGUUGUGUCGAACAAAUGCAGAUGUUUUUACGGAGAAACCACACAGACAGUUUUGCAGGAUGAACUUGAUGAAGUUGUGAACACAUGGAACUCGCACAAAAUCCGGCCAAGUGGUAGUGCAGCAUCGGGUCGACCAGUAGUAAUGUACUCAUUUCCAGAGCUGCACAGUGCUGAGGACAGACUGAAACCUAUUUCUAUGGAGGAUAUCACUUUGUGUAUGGAAGAGUGUAGCCCAAAA